Molecule: long non-coding RNA, 1780 nt
Filed under: Marmota monax (woodchuck)
Lineage: Eukaryota; Metazoa; Chordata; Mammalia; Rodentia; Sciuridae
Source: RNAcentral
AAGCAAUGCCACAGGAGGAAUGAGACAACUGUCACAUCUACGAGGGGUGCCAAGCAACCCCAGCCUGGUCCAACAGGAGCUCCCUCCCCACUUCCACAGAAGAAAGCAACGCAGCCCGGCACACACAGAUGGAUUGUGUCAGUAAUAUUUACCAUUAGGCAAGCUGUGAUUUUCUAAACAAAAGCCUAUAUUACAUUAAUUUUUUUAAAGCAAAAGCACAGGAAUACUGCAAGAUCACAUGACAUUGUGACUGUUCAGAAUCAAAUUGGUAUACUCAGCCUUCUGCAAACUCAUUUUAAUGCAUUCUCCCCAAAAUCCACUCAAAACCUGUUUAUUUAAAUAAUGUGUUGUGUUUUUUUUUUUUUUUUACAUUAUAGAGCAUCUAAAAUCCAACACCUUGAAAGUAUAUACCUAAACCUUCAAAAUCAAAUCAAAACUAUUGAAGGCUUUAUUUUUCAGAGGGUUUUGGUAAACCAAGUGCUAAGAUCUGAUAUCUUUCAAAACUCAUGUUGAAGUUGACAUGUCAUUGUGACCUGGUAAGAGGUGGGACCUUCAAGAGGUGAUUAGGUCAUGGGGCAUUGCCCUCCUCAGUUAAGCUGUGGGACAGUUAUCACAGGAGUGAUUAGUUGUCACAGAAGAGGAUUAGCUACCACAGGAGUGGGUUAGUUAUCAGAGGAGUGUGCUCAUUAUCAUGGAGUGGGUUAGUUAUCAGAGGAGUGAGUUAAUUAUCACUGGGGUGGGUUAGUUAUCACAGGAGAGGAUUAACUAUCAGGGGAGAGGGUCAGUCAGAAAAGGAAGUACUGGGCCUGUGCUGGGCAUGGUCUCUCCACCUUGGACUUCUCAGCCUCCAGAACCAUGAGCCAAAUAAACUACUAUUGUUGGCCCUUAUUCAGUAGGUGCUGUUCUGUUAUAGCAUCAGAAGAUGGACUAAGACUCAAGUUAAAUGCAUUUGGAGUGCAGUUAAGCCCACUCAACUCAACCCUCUGGUUCAACUUGGUACCUUCACUUGUCUUACUGUUUGAUUAGCGUCCAAAUGACCAUUUGAAUUUCGACAUGUUUUCUUCUAUUGAUUAUGUAUUUUAAGAUGACAAAAAAUGAAAUGAAUGAAAUCUCUGAUUUAGAGGCCAAUGCAUCUCAAUUGCUAUGGCAAUCAAUACCAGUAACAGAGAAAUUUACAAACCAUCAAACAAUUAAAAAGUAAAUAUAUGGCUUUGCCUUGAAGUGUCCAGGAGUGCCCUGAAGGAACACGCUUUAAGUCCUGAUGUAGGGGGCGCUGACCAGUUACUCCAUUUCCUAAUGACUUGGGCUUUGUCCCAGCUCAGAUACCAGGCGUGGCUCCAGGUGUAGGCGUCACCGUGGGGGCUGAGUUACACUCACCUGUUCUUUUGUAAUCCUACCCUUUUGCCCUUUUUGGGAUAGGAUGUUCCAUGGAACCUCCCCUUGUAUGUCUCCUAAAUUAGAAUAAAGAAUUCCAGUGGCUCCUUCUCUUUCCACAGACUGUUAAGGUCACAGAGCCGUCACCAGAUUAUUGAAAAGGUACUUCUGUGUGGUCGCAUGCUUUCUUUGUCAUUUUCUUAAGUUAUGAGAAGAGUCAGAUUUUGUGAACCAGCAUUGGGUCGCCAGCUGGGAUAGAUGGAGAAAAUGAAGUCUGUUUUUCAUAAAUGGAGUGCACCCAAGGGAAGUAGGAGGAGCAAGAGAGGGUCCACACACAGACAAGGCAUUGCUGCCCACCAUCCACUGGUAGAGGGAGCCUCUAGCUCUAGACAGUCUCAGAGGAGAG